GAAGCUACUAAGGGCUUACGGUGGAUGCCUUGGCGCAAAGUGCCGAUGAAGGACGUGGGUCACUGCGAUAAGCCUCGAGGAGCCGUGAACAGGCUUUGAUUCGGGGAUUUCCGAAUGGGGAAACCUACUGUUGUGAACCAACAGUGUUCUCAGCUGAAUAUAUAGGCUGAAGGACGGGCACCUGGGGAACUGAAACAUCUAAGUACCCAGAGGAAAAGAAAUCAUUCCCAGAGUAGUGGCGAGCGAAAUGGGAUCAGCUCAAACCGCCACAGCUUGCUGUGACGGGGUUGUAGGAUCUGGCAUAUGGAAGUUACAAAGCAAAUCGCUAGCAGAAUGGUAUGGAAAAGCCUACCAAAGAGGGUGAGAGUCCCGUACGCGAAAGUGAUUUGCCUUCCGCUAGACACCUGAGUACUACCGGGCACGCUAAUCCGGUAGGAAUCUGGGAGGUCCACCUCCCAAAGCUAAACACACUUUGCGACCGAUAGUGAACUAGUACCGUGAGGGAAAGGUGAAAAGCACCCCGGUGAGGGGAGUGAAAUAGAACCUGAAACCGUAAGCCUACAAACAGUCGAAGGGCUAAUGGCGGGUCGGUGUUCCGGUGAAAGCCGGCACGCGCCGCUAUGCCUGACGGCGUGCCUUUUGGAGAAUGAGCCUGCGAGUUAAUCUUUGUGGCAAGGUUAAGGGAGUUACACCCGGAGCCGUAGCGAAAGCGAGUCUGAACAGGGCGUUCAGUCGCAAGGAUUAAACCCGAAACCAGGUGAGCUACCCAUGGCCAGGGUGAAACGAGUCUAACCGCUUGUGGAGGCCCGAACCUACUAAUGUUGCAAAAUUAGGGGAUGAGCUGUGGGUAGAGGUGAUAUGCCAAACGAACUUGGAGAUAGCUGGUUCUCCCCGAAAUAGCUUUAGGGCUAGCGCUAUGCGUUCAGUACCGGAGGUAGAGCACUGAAUGGGCAAGGGGGCUUAUAGCUUACCGACCCCAAUCAAACUCCGAAUGCCGGUACUCCAGAGCAUAGUAGUCGGACUGCGUGAGAUGAGUUUCGUGGUCAAAAGGGAAAGAGCCCAGAUCAUCAGCUAAGGUCCCUAAAUCCAAGCUAAGUGGGAAACGAUGUGGGGUUACUGCAACAACCAGGAGGUUUGCUCAGAAGCAGCCAUCCUUUAAAGAGUGCGUAACAGCUCACUGGUCAAGUGAUCCUGCGCGGAAAAUCCAACGGGGCUAAGCUUGGUACCGAAGCUAUGGGUUUCAGAUUAAUUUCUGGAGCGGUAGGGGAGCGUUCUGUCAGCUGUGAAGGUCGAUCGUAAGGACGACUGGAGUGGACAGAAGUGAGAAUGCAGGCAUGAGUAGCGUAAAACGUGUGAGAAUCACGUUCGCCGUAAGUCUAAGGUUUCCGACGCCAGGUUGUUCCGCGUCGGGUUAGUCGGGUCCUUAGCCGAGGCCGAGAGGCGUAGGUGAUGGAUAACCGGUCAACAUUCCGGUACCACUUUGAUGGAGUGAUGAGGGGACGCAGAAAGGUAGGCCAGCCUGCGAUUGGUUGUGCAGGUGCACCUUGUGUCAGACGUUGAGGUCUGUAGGAAAAUCCGCAGACUGAGUUGAGACAAAGUGACGGUCCUUUAAGGCAUAAGUGAGCUGAGCCUUGCUGCCGAGAAAAGCCUCUAAACGUUGAGAUCAGAGUGCCCGUACCGCAAACCGACACUGGUAGACGAGUAGAGUAUACUAAGGCGAUCGGGAGAACCUUCGUUAAGGAAUUAGGCAACUUAACCCCGUAACUUCGGGAUAAGGGGUGCCUUUUGGCGUGAAAGUUUUACUUGAGCGCCGAGAGGUCGCAGUGAACAGGCUCUAGUGACUGGUUAACAAAACCACAGGUCUCUGCUAAACCGUAAGGUGAUGUAUAGGGGCUGACACCUGCCCAGUGCCGGAAGGUUAAAAGGAGGGGUUAGCGUAAGCGAAGCUCUGAAUUGAAGCCCCGGUGAACGGCGGCCGUAACUAUAACGGUCCUAAGGUAGCGAAAUUCCUUGUCGGGCAAGUUCCGACCCGCACGAAUGGUGUAACAACUGGAGCACUGUCUCAACGAGGGACCCGGUGAAAUUGAAAUAGCUGUGAAGAUGCGGCUUACCCGCAGCAGGACAAAAAGACCCCGUGGAGCUUUACUGCAACUUGGCAUUGAGUUUGGGCAUGUUUUGUGUAGCAUAGGUGGGAGACUUUGAAGCUGGGGCGCCAGCCUCGGUGGAGUCACCGGUGAAAUACCACCCUGAACAUGUUUAGACCCUAACCCUGUACCGUUAUCCGGACAGGGGACCGUGCCAGGUGGGCAGUUUGACUGGGGCGGUCGCCUCCUAAAAGGUAACGGAGGCGCCCAAAGGUUCCCUCAGGUUGAAUGGAAACCAACCGCAGAGUGUAAAGGCACAAGGGAGCUUGACUGCAAGACCAACGCGUCGAGCAGAUACGAAAGUAGGGCUUAGUGAUCCCACGAUUCUGAGUGGAAAGGUCGUGGCUUAUCGGAUAAAAGCUACCCCGGGGAUAACAGGCUGGUGAAGUCCAAGAGUUCACAUCGACGACUUCGCUCGGCACCUCGAUGUCGGCUCAUCGCAUCCUGGGGCUGGACAAGGUCCCAAGGGUCGGGCUGUUCGCCGUUAAAGCGGUACGCGAGCUGGGUUAGACCGUCGUGAGACAGGUCGGUCUCUAUCCGCUGUGGGCGUAAGGGAUUUGAGAGGAGCUGCCCCUAGUACGAGAGGACCGGGGUGGACAGACCUCUGGUGUGCCAGUUGUCGUGCCAACGGCAUUGCUGGGUAGCUAACGUCUGGCAGAGAUAACCGCUGAAAGCAUCUAAGUGGGAAACUCGCCUCGAGAUUAGAUCCCUGGUUCUAUAAAGAAGUAAGAUCGCAGGAAGACUACCUGCUUGAUAGGCGGCAUGUGGAAGUAUAGCAAUAUAUUAAGCUAAGCCGUACUAAUGAUCGAGCGCUUCAUCG
Molecule: ribosomal RNA, 2964 nt
Filed under: Anaerolineae bacterium
Lineage: Bacteria; Bacillati; Chloroflexota; Anaerolineae
Description: 23S ribosomal RNA
Rfam family: Bacterial large subunit ribosomal RNA
Source: RNAcentral